CUGAUAAAAAUAUUAAAGGGCUGCAGUAUUUUGACUGUACAAAGGUAGCAUAAUCAAUAGUCUCUUAAUUAGUGACUUGUAUGAAAGAUUGGAUGAAAUAUAUAUUGUCUCUUAUUUAUAUAAAGAAUUUAAUUUUUUGAUUAAAAAGUCAAAAUUUAUUUAAAAGACGAGAAGACCCUAUAGAGUUUAAUAUUUUUAUUAAUUAAGGUUUUAUAUUUGAAUAAUAAUUGAAAUUAUUGAAAAUAUUUUAUUGGGGUGAUAAAAAAAUUAAUUUAACUUUUUUUUUAAGUUUUACAUUAAUAAGUGGUUAUAUGAUCCAAAAAUUUUGAUUAUAAGAAAAAAUUACCUUAGGGAUAACAGCGUAAUUUUUUUUUUUAGCUCAAAUAAGAAAAAAAGUUUGCGACCUCGAUGUUGGAUUAAGAUAAAAUUUAUAUGCAAAAGUAUAAAAUUUUGAUCUGUUCGAUC
Molecule: ribosomal RNA, 465 nt
Filed under: Emphylica crassihamata
Lineage: Eukaryota; Metazoa; Arthropoda; Insecta; Lepidoptera; Crambidae
Description: partial 16S ribosomal RNA
Source: RNAcentral